This 1401-nucleotide long non-coding RNA is filed under the name Homo sapiens (human). RNAcentral's name for it is "long intergenic non-protein coding RNA 1539". Lineage: Eukaryota; Metazoa; Chordata; Mammalia; Primates; Hominidae. The record is from RNAcentral.
AAAGAAAAGACCAUGGAUCUACUAGUUGCAGAUUUCAGCAGUAAUGCCAAGGGGGCAAGAAGUGACCAGCAGAACAAUUAGGCCAUGGCAACAGAAGCCAACUACAACCCAUGUUCCAAUCUAUGACCUCCCUCUCCUGCUGGUACAAGGAUAUGAUCUGGAGUCUGGGAAGUUCAAGAGCAUGGCACCAACAUCUGGCAAGGGCUUUCAUUCUGCAUCAUCUCAUGGAGGAAAAUAAAAAGGAGGCUGGAUGCUCCUGUGAAGUACGUCUUUUAUCUACUUGCUAUCUUUGCAAUUCCUUCAUGCUACAAUGAGAGAUAGAGUUUAAACCUGAAAACAUUCUUGGAAAAGGAAUCUUCAUUAAUUCAAAUAUACCACAAGAUUCACCACCAUCACUACUCUAAGUAUUUUUCUUCUUGAGAAAGAGAAGGAGAGGGAAAGCAAGGAAGAGGAAGAGAAAGAGAAAUGGAUAAAAACAUGGUCAAGUAGAAGAGUCUGUGAUUUCAGGUAAAUCCAGAUUUGGAGCUUAAAUGACUCAAAUGCUUUGCCUACAUUGAUCCUACAUUCAGGCUGCUUACAUAUCUCUUGGCUUCUCUGAGAACCAGAUUGUCACCACUUAAAGUGUCUUCCAGAGUCCUCACGAGUAUCAGAGAAGGCAUAAUCUGUACACGUGGCUUCAUUUAAAAUGAAAAUAUCAAGCAGUGUCAUUUUCACAAGUAUCCCCACACUGUCUGAGGCUGAAAAGAAGAGUGUAGCUAUGCACACUGCAGUGAGAAGAAAAUUUCAGCUCAAUUGGAGGAUGUAAAGGUACAAAUUGAAAUACCACUGCUCCUAGUUCUGAUGCAAAAUUGAAAAGAGUGCACUGGGUCUUCAAAUGGCAUAUUGACAAGGAGAAAGAGGAAAGGAUGCCCCAGGACAGCCUGGGGGUCAAGGCUGGGCUCAGGCAUGCCUGGACAAGCCAUGCAAGUUGUCUCCGGACUUGAACCACGUAUCAGAGGAGCUAUUUGAGGAGCCACAUCAGCAUACCUGCUUCUGUGGGCCCCCAGGCUGUGGUGCUCAGCCCUUGCACUAUGAAACAUUUUUUUUUUCCAGAAGCCAAAGCUUUGAGCAUCUCCUCCCAUGUAGAGAGUGUAUAUGUUUACGUCCAUGUCUUUCGCCAUGUGAACGCAUGCAACCACCACCUCAAAUAUCAUAAAUCCUCUCUCUCCCCCUUUCUGUCUGCCUGUUUAUCUACAAUCUGUCUAUUUAAAUUCUUUUUAAACAAGAAGGGAAUAUCUUUAUGCCUGUUUGUAGGGAUAUUCUACAUCCAUCUGUUAUUUACAUCAUUCGUUUUCCUGAGGUGUCUCCAACAAAUCCUGGCUGGAUGCACUGUAUGUGUUAUUAAUAAAACAGCUGUAAAAA